RNAcentral lists this ribosomal RNA (445 nucleotides) under uncultured bacterium. Its description in RNAcentral is "bacterial SSU rRNA". It matches the Rfam family "Bacterial small subunit ribosomal RNA", at positions 1059 to 1501 of the family's 1533-position model. The record is from RNAcentral.
CUCGUGUCGUGAGAUCUUGGGUUAAGUCCCGCAACGAGCGCAACCCCUGUCCUAUGUUGCCAGCAUUUAGUUGGGGACUCAUAGGAGACUGCCGGUGAUAAACCGGAGGGAGGUGGGGACGACGUCAAGUCAUCAUGCCCCUUAUGUCCAGGGCUGCACGCAUGCUACAAUGGCAAGUACAACGAGUCGCAAUACCGCGAGGUGGAGCAAAUCUCUUAAAGCUUGUCUCAGUUCGGAUAGGAGUCUGCAACUCGACUCCUUGAAGUUGGAGUCGCUAGUAAUCGCAAAUCAGCAAAGUUGCGGUGAAUACGUUCUCGGGGUUUGUACACACCGCCCGUCAAGUCACGGAAGUCGGCAAUACCCGAAGCCAGUGGUCCAACCCUUUUAGGGAGGAAGCUGUCGAAGGUAGGGUCGGUAACUGGGACUAAGUCGUAACAAGGUAGCC